GGCGGACUGGCGUAAUGGUUAACGCGCCAGUUUCCGGCGCAAAUUCACUGCAGCCUGUAGCUGGAGAUUCUGGGUUCGAGUCCCAGGUUCGUCG
RNAcentral lists this transfer RNA (94 nucleotides) under Leucoagaricus sp. SymC.cos. It matches the Rfam family "tRNA". From Rfam's summary of the family: Transfer RNA (tRNA) molecules are approximately 80 nucleotides in length. Their secondary structure includes four short double-helical elements and three loops (D, anti-codon, and T loops). Further hydrogen bonds mediate the characteristic L-shaped molecular structure. tRNAs have two regions of fundamental functional importance: the anti-codon, which is responsible for specific mRNA codon recognition, and the 3' end, to which the tRNAs corresponding amino acid is attached (by aminoacyl-tRNA synthetases). tRNAs cope with the degeneracy of the genetic code in two manners: having more than one tRNA (with a specific anti-codon) for a particular amino acid; and 'wobble' base-pairing, i.e. permitting non-standard base-pairing at the 3rd anti-codon position. The record is from Rfam by way of RNAcentral. Lineage: Eukaryota; Fungi; Basidiomycota; Agaricomycetes; Agaricales; Agaricaceae.